This 274-nucleotide ribosomal RNA is filed under the name uncultured bacterium. RNAcentral's name for it is "partial 16S ribosomal RNA". It matches the Rfam family "Archaeal small subunit ribosomal RNA", at positions 473 to 747 of the family's 1478-position model. The record is from RNAcentral.
AAACCAGCACCUCAAGUGGUCAGGAUGAUUAUUGGGCCUAAAGCAUCCGUAGCCUGCUUUGCCAGUUUUCGGUUAAAUCCAUACGCUUAACGUAUGGGCUGCCGGAAAUACUACAAAGCUAGGGAGUGGGAGAGGUAGACGGUACUCGGGAGGAAGUGGUAAAAUGCUUUGAUCUCUCGAUGACCACCUGUGGCGAAGGCGGUCUACCAGAACACGUCUGACGGUGAGGGAUGAAAGCUGAGGGAGCAAACCGGAUUAGAAACCCCAGUAGUCC